This 478-nucleotide ribosomal RNA is filed under the name uncultured bacterium. RNAcentral's name for it is "partial 16S ribosomal RNA". It matches the Rfam family "Bacterial small subunit ribosomal RNA", at positions 28 to 523 of the family's 1533-position model. The record is from RNAcentral.
GACGAACGCUGGCGGCGUGCUUAACACAUGCAAGUCGAACGGUAAGGCCCUUCGGGGUACACGAGUGGCGAACGGGUGAGUAACACGUGGGUGAUCUGCCCUGCACUUCGGGAUAAGCCUGGGAAACUGGGUCUAAUACCGGAUAGGACCACUGCCUGCAUGGGUGGUGGUGGAAAGCUUUUGCGGUGUGGGAUGGGCCCGCGGCCUAUCAGCUUGUUGGUGGGGUGUUGGCCUACCAAGGCGACGACGGGUAGCCGGCCUGAGAGGGUGACCGGCCACACUGGGACUGAGAUACGGCCCAGACUCCUACGGGAGGCAGCAGUGGGGAAUAUUGCACACUGGGCGCAAGCCUGAUGCAGCGACGCCGCGUGAGGAAUGACGGCCUUCGGGUUGUAAACCUCUUCCAGCACCGACGAAGCGCAAGUGACGGUAGGUGCAGAAGAAGGACCGGCCAACUACGUGCCAGCCGCCGCGGUAA